GUGACCUUGCAAUGGUUGCAGGUGGAGAUGUGAGUCACUAAGUUGGAAAAUUUCUAGGGAACUUGAAACGGGAGCUCAGAAAGACUAUAAAAAAACAGCCUGCACUCCUUGGUCAAGAUGUCCAAAGGAUUUUGAUCAAUAAUACCCUUGGCUAAUGGGAGUGUGGAAAUUUGCAGUUUUAGAGACUGUUAGAAAUAUAAAUUGGAAUAGCCCUUUUAGAAGACAUACGGCACAAUAAUUACUGAUGAGGAUGCUGUCACAGGCCAGCUCCUGAAGAAAUGCCGGAGGUCUUCAGUCUGGCUCAGUCACCUGCCCUGUGCACCCAUAUUCCCUGGAAAUAUACUGCCAGUCUCCACAGCCGCUUCUAUUUCCUGAACGCUAACUAGGGGCAGGAAGUUUGAAGCAGAUCAGCGGUACACUGUGGUUAUGGUGACAGUGAGGAAGAAAGGAGCAAGUCGGUAAGCAACGGUGGGCAGGAAAUCCUGGAGAUGUUCGUGGAUCCUGCACUCAGGCCCACAGCAUGACACCUGAAAACAUGAGGUCAUGCUCUGUGCAUAGAACCUGCAGAACUCCUCCUGGCCUCAUGUCAGAAGAAAGCAAGUUUGAAUGCAAGGGCUGAAGAAAGGGAGAAGAGUGAUAAAUGAGAUGCAGCAGAAAAGCCAUGAGCCUCAGAGUCAGAAGACAUUUAUUUGAAUCCCAGAUCCACCUCUGAAGAGCAGGCAAACUGCUUUCUGCCUCACACUUGCCCUCAAAGGAGUGACAGUUUUGUCAUGAGAUUUUCUAACGCCUCUUUUGAUAAUUAUGGGAGAAAUGGAGUACAAAGCUACAAGCAUAGCAGCUCUAUUUAGUGUCCCUUGAGAGCUAUUAACUCAACACAUCCAAAACUGAGCUCCUCAGCCCAUCAGCCGGGAAGAAGUCUUCUGUCCUCUACCUCUCAGGUGCCACUUGCCCCUCCUGCUUUGUUCCCAGGUCUCCCUCUCCACUGAGGUGAUGUGGAACCAUCGGACUGAGUUUUAUGCUCAUCAGUGUGUCCAUGCAAGAAAGGGCACACAAAUCACCCGGAGAUCUUGUUCAGCUGGACAGACUGUCUCUGUGGACCUGCAUAAGGCCUGAGGCUUUGCAUCUCUUACAGCUCCAACGUGAUGCCAGCGUGGCUGGUGCAUGAACCACAUUCAAGCAGCCAGACCACAUCUCUGGAAACACAUGUCCUUGGCACAGAGCACUUCCUAGAUAAUUCUACGUGCUGAAUCAGGUCAGGCGUGUGCCAGUGACUUGAGUGUGCAGAGCCAGGAGAUGCGCUGGCCAGCAAGCCACUGCAUAUUUAGAACCCACAGCCAACCUAAGCUUGGUUAAGAAAAGGAGGGUUUAUUUUCCACCAUGACUAAGGUGUCCAUGCUGAAAGACCAACAACCCAAAGGAAGAAGGGUAAUAUCGGACCUUCUCAAACUAGAAACAAGGACUCUCAAUCUGGAGUUGUGGGCUUCCCAGCCUCUGUGUCUCCCUCCCCUCAUUCCCAGACUCUGCCCUGACUUUCAUGUGUACUGAUCUCCCCUUCACGUCAUUCUGAACUCCAUGAAGCUGAAGCUGAGAUGGUCUUUUGGUCCCCUCAAGUAUAACAACCUAGAGUGUGUUCAGAAUAUCUAAACUGCCAGACCCUGGCCUGCACAGGACCCACAGCCAUAGCCAGCAGUUUCAGUUUGGUUAAGAAUGCAUACCUUCUCUCCACAAACCACUAAUCUCUUUCUGUUCUAAAACCUGCACGCAGCAAUCAAUUUUACCCUAAAAUAUAAAGCCAAAAUCAACAGGGAAGGCACAGGGUGCAAAGACCUUUCUCCUCAGUCCAGACACAUAUCUUCCUUUCAGUGUGGCCAGCUAGAUCCCUCAGCUUCCCCAGCUCUCCCUCCAGGGGGCUUGUGCUAACAGCUCCAAGAAGCACUCAGAUGCCUCCAGAGUCCUCUACAGGGAGGCAAGGUGAUUCAGGCACAUAGGAGCCUGUGCCAUCCAAGGAAGGGAACAUGGAGGGGCAUGUUAGGAGGAUGCUGUACACAUAACAUGAACUGGAGUGUGGCAUGGAGUCCACUUGGCCUGUUUGUUUUUGCUAAGUAUCCUAGGCUUUGAAGAAGGGAGGUCAGCUCUUUACGUUCUACCUUACGCUAGCUGUGUGGCCAUGGGGAAGUAAGCCAACCUCUCUGAAACUUGAAUUUCUUCAUCUGUUAAAAAAAGAUGAUGAUAAUUCUGACCUCACAAAGUUAUUUGCAAGAGUUAAAUGAGUGAACACAAGAUACACAAAGAAUAUACCAUCAGCCAGGAAUUCAUAUAAUGAUAAUGAUAAAACUAUGACCCCAGUGCCCAGUAUGGGGCCGAAGGUCUUGUGUAACCUUAAAAAAUGUUUGAGGAAGAGAGGAUGGAAAGAAAGAAAGAUGGAGGGAGAUGGAAGAUGACAAGAAAGAAAGGAAAUGCAGAAUAAGAGGUUCAGGCCGUGGAUGAGAGUAACUAACACAUCUGAAUCUGGGAGGUCCAUCGGAUGGAGGUAGGUGGAGUCACAUAUUCUAAGUGGAUGCGUGGUGCCACUAGGCUCACAUCAUCGUCCCUAUUGAGAAACCUCAUCUACUGAACACUCAGGGAGCCGACAGCUCAGAGGGCUUUUUGAGGACUGGCACCAGCAAGUGAAGCCCGUGAGACAGCCACAAACCCCAGCUUCCCAGGGUCUCACUGUGUCUAUUGUAGAGCUACCUGUUGCAUGUCACCGUUUUCCCCUGCAAACUACACCCGUGCAAUGUGAAGGGAGUGAAAGGCCCCAUUUAUGUCACAGCAUGACUUCAGCAAGGCACUUUUCAGAGCUCAGUUCUUCUCCUUCAAAGAGGGCAGGGAAAGCAGUCCCUGCCCUGCCUACCCCACACUUACGGGAUAGUGCUAGCCUUAAAAAGCAUGCCCCAGAUAAACUGAUUAUCAGGGCCUCCAGCACACUCUCCAAGCAAAACAUUUCUUGGUGUCCUGUUCCCGAAACUAAAAAAAAAAAAUUACAGUAGACUUUUGUGGUUGGCUUCUUUCUCUUUUCCAUAGAAAGCUGGGGAGGGGAAGUGAGGUUUCAUCAACAGACAGGGUGGUCUGGGUCUAACUCAUUCUAGCUCCUUGGAACCCAAGAGAAACUAAAAAAUGCCACAUACCCUGAGCCCACCACCAGAAAUGCUCAUUUCAUUCUUUGUAGUUGAAAUUUUGCCUAGCUAUUUCUAUAUCCCAAGUGAUUGUUUAUGUUGAGAAUUCCUGGACUCCUCAGUGAGGUGAAAAACGAAUAAAUGAAAGGAAGAGAACAACCUAAAGAUGAGAGUAUAGUGUGAUGUAGAAGCUUUUCCCCAUAGCUCAAGGGCCUGUGAACCAGCAGAAUAAAAACUAUGAAAGCAGCUGUAACAGCUGACAUUUGUCAAACACACACCCUCCCGAGCAUGUGACAGCCUUUAUCCACUGUGUCCUCGCUGAUUUUUGCCCCAUUUCAGAGCAGGACAGACAGGGACCACUGCUGAAUGUGUCUUGCUUGGAGGUAACCAGCUUUGUCACUUGCUGUUAAGCGAUGGUAUGAUAACAUUCUGGCCCAUGAUGUGAAGUAGGAAUCCUCUUUCUGAUUUCCAUUAUUUUUAAAUCCAAGACCUGUGGAGAAUGGUUGUGAAGCAGAAUAAACUUUGA
This is a long non-coding RNA of Chinchilla lanigera (long-tailed chinchilla), 3681 nucleotides long. RefSeq lists it as uncharacterized. The record is from RefSeq and is a predicted model, not a curated record. The transcript is spliced from 8 exons. Lineage: Eukaryota; Metazoa; Chordata; Mammalia; Rodentia; Chinchillidae.